Non-coding RNA from Triticum aestivum (bread wheat), 135 nucleotides. The record is from Rfam. Lineage: Eukaryota; Viridiplantae; Streptophyta; Magnoliopsida; Poales; Poaceae.
UUCCUACUCCCUCCGUCCGGAAACACUUGUCAUCAAAAUGAAUAAGAGGGGAUGUAUCUAGACGUAUAUUAGUUUUAGAUACAUUCCUUUUUAUCUAUUUUGAUGACAAGUAUUUUCGGACGGAGGGAGUACAUU